UACGAAGGGGGCUAGCGUUGUUCGGAAUUACUGGGCGUAAAGCGCACGUAGGCGGAUCGAUCAGUCAGGGGUGAAAUCCCCGGGCUCAACCCGGGAACUGCGUCCGAUACCGGAAGGCUUGAAUCCGGGAGAGGGAUGCGGAAUUCCAGGUGUAGCGGUGAAAUGCGUAGAUAUCUGGAGGAACACCGGUGGCGAAGGCGGAUCUCUGGGCCAUUACUGACGCUGAGGAGCGAAAGCGUGGGGAGCGAACAGG
RNAcentral lists this ribosomal RNA (253 nucleotides) under uncultured bacterium. Its description in RNAcentral is "partial 16S ribosomal RNA". It matches the Rfam family "Bacterial small subunit ribosomal RNA", at positions 524 to 776 of the family's 1533-position model. The record is from RNAcentral.